UACGGAGGGAGCUAGCGUUGUUCGGAAUUACUGGGCGUAAAGCGCACGUAGGCGGCUUUGUAAGUUAGAGGUGAAAGCCUGGGGCUCAACCCCAGAAUUGCCUUUAAGACUGCAUCGCCUGAAUCCAGGAGAGGUGAGUGGAAUUCCGAGUGUAGAGGUGAAAUUCGUAGAUAUUCGGAAGAACACCAGUGGCGAAGGCGGCUCACUGGACUGGUAUUGACGCUGAGGUGCGAAAGCGUGGGGAGCAAACAGG
RNAcentral lists this ribosomal RNA (253 nucleotides) under uncultured bacterium. RNAcentral describes it as "partial 16S ribosomal RNA". It matches the Rfam family "Bacterial small subunit ribosomal RNA", at positions 524 to 776 of the family's 1533-position model. The record is from RNAcentral.